GGAGGGAUAGCUCACGGGCAGAGUGCAUGCUUAGCAUGCAUGAGGUCUUGGGUUCAAUCCCCAGUACUUCCA
Molecule: transfer RNA, 72 nt
Filed under: Camelus bactrianus (Bactrian camel)
Lineage: Eukaryota; Metazoa; Chordata; Mammalia; Artiodactyla; Camelidae
Also listed under: 1 other name
Rfam family: tRNA
About the family: Transfer RNA (tRNA) molecules are approximately 80 nucleotides in length. Their secondary structure includes four short double-helical elements and three loops (D, anti-codon, and T loops). Further hydrogen bonds mediate the characteristic L-shaped molecular structure. tRNAs have two regions of fundamental functional importance: the anti-codon, which is responsible for specific mRNA codon recognition, and the 3' end, to which the tRNAs corresponding amino acid is attached (by aminoacyl-tRNA synthetases). tRNAs cope with the degeneracy of the genetic code in two manners: having more than one tRNA (with a specific anti-codon) for a particular amino acid; and 'wobble' base-pairing, i.e. permitting non-standard base-pairing at the 3rd anti-codon position.
Source: Rfam by way of RNAcentral